Molecule: long non-coding RNA, 363 nt
Filed under: Suricata suricatta (meerkat)
Lineage: Eukaryota; Metazoa; Chordata; Mammalia; Carnivora; Herpestidae
Description: lncRNA (ENSSSUG00005009837.1)
Source: RNAcentral
GGUGCGUGUGCACAGCCACGGGACUUUUCAUGUUUCAGAGUUGACUUGACUACUCAUUACCUGCCCCCCACUCCCGGGAUGGACCAGUGAGCCUCAGACAGUCCACGCUCCGUAUCAAAUGCUUAUGUCAGACACGUUUCUGACAUCCACCAACUCUGUGCAGGCUAAGCCACCGUGUAGGUCUGGUGACCAAAUUAGGUCAAUCACAGGACCGGUCUGCUCAGAAGAAAGCCUGUCUCCCAGCUGCCCCCAGGCCGUUCCCACAGCAGCUCGGAUGGUGGGUCAGGAGGCUGUGCCCUCCCCUCCCUGGAACUCUGUCAAGUGGACCACCCAGCUGUAUGACGGAAAGAUAACCCUUCACUU